Chondromyces crocatus is the source of this 70-nucleotide transfer RNA. It matches the Rfam family "tRNA". Rfam says of the family: Transfer RNA (tRNA) molecules are approximately 80 nucleotides in length. Their secondary structure includes four short double-helical elements and three loops (D, anti-codon, and T loops). Further hydrogen bonds mediate the characteristic L-shaped molecular structure. tRNAs have two regions of fundamental functional importance: the anti-codon, which is responsible for specific mRNA codon recognition, and the 3' end, to which the tRNAs corresponding amino acid is attached (by aminoacyl-tRNA synthetases). tRNAs cope with the degeneracy of the genetic code in two manners: having more than one tRNA (with a specific anti-codon) for a particular amino acid; and 'wobble' base-pairing, i.e. permitting non-standard base-pairing at the 3rd anti-codon position. Lineage: Bacteria; Pseudomonadati; Myxococcota; Polyangiales; Polyangiaceae. The record is from Rfam.
CCCCAUCUUGCUAGAUGGCCCAGGCAGCCGGACCCUCAAUCCGGAAACGCGGGUUCGAAUCCCGCUGGGG